UGAAAACUUCGAUGAAUA
RNAcentral lists this small nuclear RNA (18 nucleotides) under Arabidopsis thaliana (thale cress). Its description in RNAcentral is "snRNA_00227". Lineage: Eukaryota; Viridiplantae; Streptophyta; Magnoliopsida; Brassicales; Brassicaceae. The record is from RNAcentral.